RNAcentral lists this ribosomal RNA (735 nucleotides) under uncultured bacterium. Its description in RNAcentral is "bacterial SSU rRNA". The stretch from base 1 to 483 matches the Rfam family "Bacterial small subunit ribosomal RNA", at positions 20 to 546 of the family's 1533-position model. The record is from RNAcentral.
UGGCUCAGAUUGAACGCUGGCGGCAGGCUUAACACAUGCAAGUCGAACGGUAACAGGGGAAAGCUUGCUUUCUUGCUGACGAGUGGCGGACGGGUGAGUAAUGCUUGGGAAUCUGGCUUAUGGAGGGGGAUAACGACGGGAAACUGUCGCUAAUACCGCGUAGAGUCGAGAGACGAAAGUGUGGGACCGCAAGGCCACAUGCCAUGAGAUGAGCCCAAGUGGGAUUAGGUAGUUGGUGGGGUAAAGGCCUACCAAGCCGACGAUCUCUAGCUGGUCUGAGAGGAUGACCAGCCCCCCGGGACUGAGACACGGCCCGGACUCCUACGGGAGGCAGCAGUGGGGAAUAUUGCGCAUGGGGCAACCUGACGCAGCCUGCCGCGUGAAUGAAAAGGCUUCGGUUGAAGUUCUUCGUGCAGGAAGUUGUUGGGUAAAGCGACAAUGACGUUAUCCGAGAAGACCGUAAUCGGUCAGAGCCGCGUAAUCGGAGGUGGAACUUAACGGAUACGGGGUAAGGAAGCAGGGGCUUUUAUGAGUGUGAUCCCGGGUAACUGGAUUGAUUCAAGGGAGAGAUACUUAGGGAGUAGAUUCCCGGACGGAUUCUAAUUGGAGAAACGAGCAAGGCCCUGGAAGUGACUCUGCAACGGGGAAAGUAACCGGACCCCGACUGAUUGGUGGUUAUGGCGUAGGAACCCGGGUGCGGUACAAAUGGGCCAGGAUGGUAUCGCGACACUGACU